AUCUGACGUAGUUCGGGUCCAUGGUUUUAGGGAGUGACUGAGCGUUCUAGCAUUCGACACCACCGAUCUAGUACAGCAGCAGAAAUCUACCAGUUGAAAAGAGUCGUCUUCUGUCACACCGAAUAUUCCAAAGCAUGAACGACGUGCGGCGAUUUAAGAGCUAAACAUAUUUCUGUUGGCAAUGGAACAAUUUAAAGAGAGAGGACAACAUCUCCGCCAACGUCUGGUUCAUCUUCGCCCGCUCAUUGCAAUGGGCAUGUCCACAAUAUUUCAAAGUAACCAAUCACACGCCAUCUGUUGGAGACACAGGUGAAGUGGUGAAUGAGGUGAGCUUUUUUAUUUUUUUAUUUUAUUAAUAUCAAAUCAAUACAUAAAGCACAUGAGGGAACACAAGCAUACAUAGAUUACAAACAAUAGACAAUCGAGC
Long non-coding RNA from Oncorhynchus keta (chum salmon), 427 nucleotides. RefSeq lists it as uncharacterized. The record is from RefSeq and is a predicted model, not a curated record. NCBI's taxonomy places the organism in Eukaryota, Metazoa, Chordata, Actinopteri, Salmoniformes, Salmonidae. The transcript is spliced from 3 exons.